AGCGGCAUGGCAAAACCGCAAUCCUAUCAUUGAAGAAAUCUGGUCCUGAACUUCCUGCACUCUUAACCCGGUUCUCAGCUGGCAUUGCUGGGACUGGUCUCGCUGUUCUCUUCUCUGUUGUCUGCAAAUUAGCCUGUGGGAGGGCACCCUUUUGUGCAUCAAAACUUUUCACUACAGGUUUUGGGUUUGGGCUGGUCUGGCUUUCCUGGGCAGUGAAUAGACUGAGCGACACAAUUGCAUAUGUCAGCAAGAAUGCAAGUAAGUGAGGUAGAAAGGAUGAAGAUAUGCUGGAAACCGUGGAUAAAAAAUGUGGCUAAAUUUCUUUUGAGGCUCUGAGCUUAAAUUUGAAGACUGGAAUUGCUAUGCUUAAGCUAGACUGAGAAUUCUGCUGAGGGAAAAUGAGACCAAAAUUAGAAACAAAGAUUGAUUAGGGAGAGAUUCAUUUUAUCAAAUUAAUGUUCCCUUUCCCUUGCAUGAAGUACAACUCUGAAAUGAUGAUGAUUGUCGGCACAAAAGUGGAUGAAGGUAUCCACAGCAUAAUUUGGAAAUGAAUUUUAGAAUGAGGAUGUCCAUAUAUGGCUGUGAAUGUUAGAAUGAGGAAUUACCGGAAAUAAUGGUAAAAGUAUAGAUAUUCAAACUCUUUGGUGAGUUCAAGACUUCAAGUACUACAUAAGAUAACAUGAGAUGGACUUGUCCACAGAAUAAUGCAAAUGCAUUUUUUUUUUUCUUGAAUUGGUAUUAUGAUCUUUUGUUUUUUACUUCCUGGAUUCCACUGGUGCUGACCUCACAACAGUAGACAAUUAUUAUAGUUAUGCUGGAAGGCCUGAUAGAUGUGAAUGUCUUGUUCAAGUUACUUCUGUUUUUUCCUCUUCCUCUAUCUCUCUCUUUUAAUUUUAAAAAAAUUCCUAUCUAAUGGUUCCUCGCUGUUAGCAGGUCUGAAAAAAUAAAGCUCAAGCCAUCGCUAAAGAAGAAGAAUAGCAGGAGAGGUAUUUCAGAAAGGGAUCUCUACAAAAGAAACUACUUCCAUGCAUGUGAGAGCCUUCUAUCCUUGAUGAUGGACAAGAAGCGGCAUGGCAAAACCGCAAUCCUAUCAUUGAAGAAAUCUGGUCCUGAACUUCCUGCACUCUUAACCCGGUUCUCAGCUGGCAUUGCUGGGACUGGUCUCGCUGUUCUCUUCUCUGUUGUCUGCAAAUUAGCCUGUGGGAGGGCACCCUUUUGUGCAUCAAAACUUUUCACUACAGGUUUUGGGUUUGGGCUGGUCUGGCUUUCCUGGGCAGUGAAUAGACUGAGCGACACAAUUGCAUAUGUCAGCAAGAAUGCAAGUAAGUUAGGUAUGAAGGAUGAAGAUAUGCUGGAAACU
Molecule: long non-coding RNA, 1360 nt
Filed under: Jatropha curcas
Lineage: Eukaryota; Viridiplantae; Streptophyta; Magnoliopsida; Malpighiales; Euphorbiaceae
Description: long non-coding RNA (JCUR_LNC003376)
Source: RNAcentral